UCAUAGUUAACACACAGGGAAACCAUGUGUGGCAGUUUGAAAGUGAUUAGCCCCCAUAAUCCCAUAGGGAGUGGCACUAUUAGGAAGUGUGGCUUUUUUGGAGUGGGUAUGGCCUUGUUAGAGGAAGUGUGUCACAGUGGGGGUGGACUUUGAGGUUUCCUAUGCUCAGGAUACCGCCCAGUGUCUCCGUUGACUUUUUAUUGCUGACAAGAUGUAGGAUUCUCAGCUACUUCUCCAGCACCACAUCUUCCUACAUACCGCCAUGCUCCCUGUCAUGAUGAUAAGGGACUGAACUUCUGAAACAUUCACGUCCAACUGAGGAUCUGUUAAGUAGAUAAGCUGGAGCCCAAGGGAGAUGACAUUAAUAUUUGAAGCAUUCCAAACAAGCACGGAUGACCUCAUCUUUACGCUUCGAUGGACAGGACAAUAAAAGCUGUCUUCCUCCGUGUGCAAAUCAA
Peromyscus eremicus (cactus mouse) is the source of this 458-nucleotide long non-coding RNA. RefSeq lists it as uncharacterized. The transcript is spliced from 2 exons. NCBI's taxonomy places the organism in Eukaryota, Metazoa, Chordata, Mammalia, Rodentia, Cricetidae. The record is from RefSeq and is a predicted model, not a curated record.